UCUUCAGCCUACGGAGCUCAGCAGGUGAAACUGGCGCUCGCCAUCUUUGUGGUAAGGAGGCUGGGUGUGGGGACGGGGUCGGGGGAGUCUGGGCGGCCCUAGGCUGAUCCUGCUUCUCUGACAGAUCUGCCAGCUCGGCAACUUCUCCAUCCACAUGGCCCUGCGGGACCUGCGGCCCGCUGGUGAGUGCCUGCUGGGGGCAGGGGGACAGCUGGGCUGGGUGAGGGGGUCUGACUUUCUCCUUCUGUCCUGCCUGCCAGGGUCCAAGACCCGGAAGAUCCCAUACCCCACCAAGAACCCCUUCACGUGGCUCUUCCUGCUGGUGUCCUGCCCCAACUAUACCUACGAGUGGCCCUGUUCUCCCUGGUGGGCUUCACCCAGAUGACCAUCUGGGCCAAGGGCAAGCACCGCAGCUACCUGAAGGAGUUCCGGGACUACCCGCCCCUGCGCAUGCCCAUCAUCCCCUUCCUGCUCUGAGCGCUCACCCCUGCUGGGGCUCAGCCCCUCACCCCGGUGGUAUUCUGGGGGAGGAGUGGGGCCCACAGCUCUCCAGCACCCGGAAUAAAGCCCGCCUGCCCCAGUCGGA
This 586-nucleotide small RNA is filed under the name Pongo abelii (Sumatran orangutan). Its description in RNAcentral is "retained intron". The record is from RNAcentral. Lineage: Eukaryota; Metazoa; Chordata; Mammalia; Primates; Hominidae.